AAGUCGAACGUGAAGCCGGCUUCGGCCGGUGGAAAGUGGCGAACGGGUGAGUAACGCGUGGGAACCUGCCCAGUGGUAGGGAAUAACCGCGGGAAACUGCGGCUAAUACCCUAUGUGCCCUACGGGGGAAAGAUUCAUUGCCAUUGGAGGGGCCCGCGUCGGAUUAGGUAGUUGGUGGGGUAACGGCCCACCAAGCCGACGAUCCGUAGCUGGUCUGAGAGGAUGAUCAGCCACACUGGGACUGAGACACGGCCCAGACUCCUACGGGAGGCAGCAGUGGGGAAUAUUGGACAAUGGGGGCAACCCUGAUCCAGCAAUGCCGCGUGAGUGACGAAGGCCUUAGGGUUGUAAAGCUCUUUCGGCGGGGAAGAUGAUGACGGUACCCGCAGAAGAAGCCCCGGCUAACUCCGUGCCAGCAGCCGCGGUAAUACGGAGGGGGCUAGCGUUGUUCGGAAUUACUGGGCGUAAAGGGCGCGUAGGCGGCGUCGUAAGUCAGGCGUGAAAGGCCCGGGCUCAACCCGGGAACUGCGCUUGAUACUGCGGCGCUCGAGUCCGGGAGAGGAUGGCGGAAUUCCCAGUGUAGAGGUGAAAUUCGUAGAUAUUGGGAAGAACACCGGUGGCGAAGGCGGCCAUCUGGACCGGUACUGACGCUAAUGCGCGAAAGCGUGGGGA
This 672-nucleotide ribosomal RNA is filed under the name uncultured bacterium. RNAcentral describes it as "bacterial SSU rRNA". It matches the Rfam family "Bacterial small subunit ribosomal RNA", at positions 59 to 767 of the family's 1533-position model. The record is from RNAcentral.